RNAcentral lists this ribosomal RNA (275 nucleotides) under uncultured bacterium. Its description in RNAcentral is "partial 16S ribosomal RNA". It matches the Rfam family "Bacterial small subunit ribosomal RNA", at positions 399 to 691 of the family's 1533-position model. The record is from RNAcentral.
GCGUGAGUGAAGAAGGCCCUAGGGUUGUAAAGCUCUUUCGCCAGGGAAGAUAAUGACGGUACCUGGUAAAGAAGUCCCGGCUAACUCCGUGCCAGCAGCCGCGGUAAUACGGAGGGGACUAGCGUUGUUCGGAAUUACUGGGCGUAAAGAGUACGUAGGCGGCUUGCCAAGUUGGAUGUGAAAGCCCGGGGCUCAACCCCGGAACUGCAUUCAAAACUGGUUGGCUAGAGAUCGGAAGAGGUAAGUGGAAUUCCCAGUGUAGAGGUGAAAUUCGU